UCGCGGCUUAUCACCGGCAGUCCCCUUAGAGUGCCCAACUAAAUGAUGGCAACUAAGGGCGAGGGUUGCGCUCGUUGCGGGACUUAACCCAACAUCUCACGGCACGAGCUGACGACAGCCAUGCAGCAUCUGUGCACGCUCCCUCGCGGGUCCCGUCUCUUACGAGUUGGUACCACGUGCAUGUCAAGCCGAGGUAAGGUUCUGCGCGUUGCAUCGAAUUAAUCCACAUCAUCCACCGCUUGUGCGGGUCCCCGUCAAUUCCUUUGAGUUUUAACCUUGCGGCCGUACUCCCCAGGCGGGCAACUUCACGCGUUAGCUACGGUACUGAGAAAUCGCUUCCCCAACACCCAGUUGCCAUCGUUUAGGGCGUGGACUAC
This 377-nucleotide unclassified non-coding RNA is filed under the name uncultured Pseudomonadota bacterium. RNAcentral describes it as "uncultured proteobacterium contains 16S-23S intergenic spacer region". The record is from RNAcentral. Lineage: Bacteria; Pseudomonadati; Pseudomonadota.